This 468-nucleotide ribosomal RNA is filed under the name uncultured bacterium. RNAcentral's name for it is "partial 16S ribosomal RNA". It matches the Rfam family "Bacterial small subunit ribosomal RNA", at positions 28 to 507 of the family's 1533-position model. The record is from RNAcentral.
GACGAACGCUGGCGGCGUGCUUAACACAUGCAAGUCGAACGGAAAGGCCCUGCUUUUGUGGGGUGCUCGAGUGGCGAACGGGUGAGUAACACGUGAGUAACCUGCCCUUGACUUUGGGAUAACUUCAGGAAACUGGGGCUAAUACCGGAUAGGAGCUCCUGCUGCAUGAUGGGGGUUGGAAAGUUUCGGCGGUUGGGGAUGGACUCGCGGCUUAUCAGCUUGUUGGUGGGGUAGGGGCUUACCAAGGCUUUGACGGGUAGCCGGCCUGAGAGGGUGACAGGCCACAUUGGGACUGAGAUACGGCACAGACUCCUACGGGAGGCAGCAGUGGGGAAUAUUGCACAAUGGGCGGAAGCCUGAUGCAGCAACGCCGCGUGCGGGAUGACGGCCUUCGGGUUGUAAACCGCUUUCGCCUGUGACGAAGCGUGAGUGACGGUAAUGGGUAAAGAAGCACCGGCUAACUACGUG